AAACCAGCACCUCAAGUGGUCAGGAUGAUUAUUGGGCCUAGAGCAUCCGUAGCCGGCUCUGUAAGUUUUCGGUUAAAUCUGUACGCUUAACGUACAGGCUGCUGGGAAUACUGCAGAGCUAGGGAGUGGGAGAGGUAGACGGUACUCGGGAGGAAGUGGUAAAAUGCUUUGAUCUCUCGAUGACCACCUGUGGCGAAGGCGGUCUACCAGAACACGUUCGACGGUGAGGGAUGAAAGCUGGGGGAGCAAACCGGAUUAGAAACCCGAGUAGUCC
This 274-nucleotide ribosomal RNA is filed under the name uncultured bacterium. Its description in RNAcentral is "partial 16S ribosomal RNA". It matches the Rfam family "Archaeal small subunit ribosomal RNA", at positions 473 to 747 of the family's 1478-position model. The record is from RNAcentral.